UAACAUGUGAAAUGGGUGCA
RNAcentral lists this small nuclear RNA (20 nucleotides) under Arabidopsis thaliana (thale cress). RNAcentral describes it as "snRNA_16521". Lineage: Eukaryota; Viridiplantae; Streptophyta; Magnoliopsida; Brassicales; Brassicaceae. The record is from RNAcentral.